UACGAAGGGGGCUAGCGUUGCUCGGAAUUACUGGGCGUAAAGGGAGCGUAGGCGGAUAGUUUAGUCAGAGGUGAAAGCCCAGGGCUCAACCUUGGAAUUGCCUUUGAUACUGGCUAUCUUGAGUACGGAAGAGGUAUGUGGAACUCCGAGUGUAGAGGUGAAAUUCGUAGAUAUUCGGAAGAACACCAGUGGCGAAGGCGACAUACUGGUCCGUUACUGACGCUGAGGCUCGAAAGCGUGGGGAGCAAACAGG
RNAcentral lists this ribosomal RNA (253 nucleotides) under Caulobacter sp. RNAcentral describes it as "partial 16S ribosomal RNA". It matches the Rfam family "Bacterial small subunit ribosomal RNA", at positions 524 to 776 of the family's 1533-position model. RNAcentral also lists the same sequence under 3 other names. Lineage: Bacteria; Pseudomonadati; Pseudomonadota; Alphaproteobacteria; Caulobacterales; Caulobacteraceae. The record is from RNAcentral.